GGGAUAUUGGAUGUGUUUAGUCUUAGAUUUUUUUAUUAGUUGUUAUUAACUUUGAACUAGCUUUCUGUUACUGUUGUAUCUUUAGGGAUUUUGCUAGUUAUUAUGUGCUUUGUAUCGAUUUGAUGAGUUAAGCCCUGUUAAACCUUUGUCCCAAGGUAAAGAAGAGGGUGGUUCGCCCACAAACUUUUUUUUUUACCCGACACAUAAUAUAAAAUAAAUGACAGUUUACUCGAAUUCAG
This 239-nucleotide long non-coding RNA is filed under the name Mytilus galloprovincialis (Mediterranean mussel). Lineage: Eukaryota; Metazoa; Mollusca; Bivalvia; Mytilida; Mytilidae. The record is from RNAcentral.